AGUGAACGCUGGCGGUAGGCCUAACACAUGCAAGUCGAACGGCAGCACAGUAAGAGCUUGCUCUUACGGGUGGCGAGUGGCGGACGGGUGAGGAAUACAUCGGAAUCUACUUUUUCGUGGGGGAUAACGUAGGGAAACUUACGCUAAUACCGCAUACGACCUACGGGUGAAAGCAGGGGAUCUUCGGACCUUGCGCGAUUGAAUGAGCCGAUGUCGGAUUAGCUAGUUGGCGGGGUAAAGGCCCACCAAGGCGACGAUCCGUAGCUGGUCUGAGAGGAUGAUCAGCCACACUGGAACUGAGACACGGUCAAGACGCCUACGGGAGGCAGCAGUGGGGAAUAUUGGACAAUGGGCGCAAGCCUGAUCCAGCCAUACCGCGUGGGUGAAGAAGGCCUUCGGGUUGUAAAGCCCUUUUGUGGGGAAAGAAAAGCAGCAGGUUGAUACCCCGCUGUUCUGACGGUACCCAAAGAAUAAGCACCGGCUAACUUCGUG
RNAcentral lists this ribosomal RNA (492 nucleotides) under uncultured bacterium. Its description in RNAcentral is "partial 16S ribosomal RNA". It matches the Rfam family "Bacterial small subunit ribosomal RNA", at positions 29 to 507 of the family's 1533-position model. The record is from RNAcentral.